This is a long non-coding RNA of Dermacentor silvarum, 1415 nucleotides long. RefSeq lists it as uncharacterized. The transcript is spliced from 3 exons. NCBI's taxonomy places the organism in Eukaryota, Metazoa, Arthropoda, Arachnida, Ixodida, Ixodidae. The record is from RefSeq and is a predicted model, not a curated record.
UUUCAGCGGAUUUGGGUGUGACUGGUAAGUGCACAACACCUCGUUGAUAGCAUUUUAGCUGGGAAUUUACGUUCCGCACCGGUGAGACCGUCGAAUGCUAGCGAUUUACACAUAAACGCGUAGAAGGAGCUCUAGUGCGCGUGACUCAAUUAACACACAAACACGCAGAACUGCAGUGUGCGUGCGCAGAACGAUUGUGCGAGCGGCGGAACGUGAAAACAUUUCGGGCUCCGCACUUGAAGCCAACUGACCGGCGCUUGAAGUUGCGUCCAUUUGGUUCCGCCGCCGUUUUGCAGCCAAGCUCACAGUGUCUCGGCAAGACGCGCUCGUCAAGAACACGAAAUCUAUGCAGUUCCAUGCGCUCUCUCGGGACGCUACAUCUGCGAGCGGCUGUUACGUAAGCUACGCUCAGCUAAUAGAGCCUAUUUCUUUUGGCUCGUCGUAGCGUGUGUUUCAACGGCCAGUACGAGAUAUUUCGGCUUAUAACUUGUAUGCGGAAAACCUCUACAUGAAGUCCGACAGUCUUGUGGAGUUGCGCGUUUCCUAGGACAACCACUGCGCUUUCGCUGGCAGUUAUGAUCAGUAUUCAAACACCGGCAAAGUUCGGCGCGCUCGCCGUAUCAGGCGGCUUGCCCGCAGCGUCGGCCCGCACACACAACAGGAGACGGCACGACUCGCUCCAGCUUUGUGUUAUCUUAAGCCCCGAUAUGACACCGAACAACACUAAAUCUGCCUAACCCCUUUCUGCAAUUUCUGACAGCUCGGCGGUCGGUGCAACACUCGCACACGUGAAUGCAAACAGAUGUAUUAAGUGUCGUUUUCUUCCGUUUUGCGUCUAAUUGCAGAGAGAAUAUGGCUCGCCUAAUAUUUAUUUUUGUUACUUUUGUUGAGUGUGCCUGCCGAAUCACUACAGUUUAUGCACGAAAAAAAGAGUUAUAUUUUGGUUUGACUUGUGCUUCAAAAAAUGGGAGAUGUAUCGCUUCACAUUGAGUUGCACAGCUGUGCAACAUUGUACUGUGUUGUGAAAAUGUUUUUCUUCAUUUGCAGCUGCAACUUGCCAGACAAAGUUUAAAAACCUAAAAGACACCUUUACAAAACUGAAAACCAAAAUCAAGGACAAAAGCAAAAGUGGGGCCGGAGCCAAGGACAUUCCCUCCGUUAAGUGGAAGCAUAUUGAGGCGAUGCUGCCAAUAAUGGAGAAAGUGUACGAGGCGCCCAUCAUAUGCAGCAACAUCACUUUUCAGCAGACCAGAGGGUCAGAAUGUCACUCUGAGGAACUUGCCACAAGCAAAGACGAAGUCGAAGACGAGUUUUUGUGCAACGACAUCUUUGAAGAUGAUGCAGUGAACCUGGAGAGGUGUGGCAGCAGCUCAUCCGAGAGAAGUGGUCGUCGAGCUGCAACGACUGGCAGUGCU